CCUACGGGCGGCUGCAGUGGGGAAUAUUGCACAAUGGGGGAAACCCUGAUGCAGCGACGCCGCGUGAGUGAAGAAGUAACUCGUUACGUAAAGCUCUAUCAGCAGGGAAAAAACACUGACCUUGCGAUCAGCAGACGGUACCUGUGUAAGAAGCACCGGCUAACUACGUGCCAGCAGCCGCGGGAAUACGGAGGGGGCAAGCGUUUUCCGGGUUUACUGGGUGUAAAGGGAGCGUAGACGGUGCGCCAAGUCUGGAGUGAAAUGCCGCAGCUUAACUGCGGAACUGCGUUGGAAACUGGCGAACUAGAGUGCGGGAGGGGUAAGCGGAAUGCCGAGUGUAGCGGUGAAAUGCGUAGAUAUUAGGAGGAACACCGGUGGCGAAGGCGGCUUACUGGACCGUAACUGACGUUGAGGCUCGAAAGCGUGGGGAGCAAACAGGAUUAGAUACCCCAGUAGUC
RNAcentral lists this ribosomal RNA (458 nucleotides) under uncultured bacterium. RNAcentral describes it as "partial 16S ribosomal RNA". It matches the Rfam family "Bacterial small subunit ribosomal RNA", at positions 338 to 795 of the family's 1533-position model. The record is from RNAcentral.